UACGUAGGGGGCAAGCGUUGUUCGGAAUUACUGGGCGUAAAGGGCGCGUAGGCGGCAUGGCAAGUCGGGAGUGAAAGCCCGGGGCUCAACCCCGGAACUGCUUUCGAAACUGCCAAGCUAGAGUACGGAAGGGGCAACUGGAAUUCCCAGUGUAGCGGUGAAAUGCGUAGAUAUUGGGAAGAACACCGGAGGCGAAGGCGGGUUGCUGGGCCGAUACUGACGCUGAGGCGCGAAAGCCAGGGGAGCAAACGGG
Molecule: ribosomal RNA, 253 nt
Filed under: uncultured bacterium
Lineage: Bacteria
Description: partial 16S ribosomal RNA
Rfam family: Bacterial small subunit ribosomal RNA
Source: RNAcentral